RNAcentral lists this ribosomal RNA (847 nucleotides) under uncultured Arcobacter sp. RNAcentral describes it as "bacterial SSU rRNA". It matches the Rfam family "Bacterial small subunit ribosomal RNA", at positions 652 to 1499 of the family's 1533-position model. The record is from RNAcentral. Lineage: Bacteria; Pseudomonadati; Campylobacterota; Epsilonproteobacteria; Campylobacterales; Arcobacteraceae.
GAGAGGUAGAUGGAAUUUCUGGUGUAGGGGUAAAAUCCGUAGAGAUCAGAAGGAAUACCGAUUGCGAAGGCGAUCUACUGGAACAUUAUUNGACGCUGAGACGCGAAAGCGUGGGGAGCAAACAGGAUUAGAUACCCUGGUAGUCCACGCCCUAAACGAUGUACACUAGUUGUUGUGAGGCUAGACCUUGCAGUAAUGCAGUUAACACAUUAAGUGUACCGCCUGGGGAGUACGGUCGCAAGAUUAAAACUCAAAGGAAUAGACGGGGACCCGCACAAGCGGUGGAGCAUGUGGUUUAAUUCGACGAUACGCGAAGAACCUUACCUGGACUUGACAUAGAAAGAAUAACGCAGAGAUGUGAUAGUGCUUGCUUGCAAGAACUUUCAUACAGGUGCUGCACGGCUGUCGUCAGCUCGUGUCGUGAGAUGUUGGGUUAAGUCCCGCAACGAGCGCAACCCUCGUCGUUAGUUGCUAACAGUUCGGCUGAGAACUCUAACGAGACUGCCUGGGUAACCAGGAGGAAGGUGAGGACGACGUCAAGUCAUCAUGGCCCUUACGUCCAGGGCUACACACGUGCUACAAUGGGGCAUACAAAGAGCCGCGAUACCGUGAGGUGGAGCAAAUCUCAAAAAUGCCUCCCAGUUCGGAUAGUAGUCUGCAACUCGACUACUUGAAGUUGGAAUCGCUAGUAAUCGUAGAUCAGCAAUGCUACGGUGAAUACGUUCCCGGGUCUUGUACUCACCGCCCGUCACACCAUGGGAGUUGAACUCAUUCGAAGCGGGGAUGCUAAAGUAGCUACCCUCCACAGUGGAUUCAGCGACCUGUGGUGAAGUCGUAANCAAGGUAA